UACGAAGGGGGCUAGCGUUGCUCGGAAUUACUGGGCGUAAAGCGCACGUAGGCGGCUUGUUAAGUCGGGGGUGAAAUCCUGGAGCUCAACUCCAGAACUGCCUUCGAUACUGGCGAGCUAGAGUCCGGAAGAGGAGAGUGGAAUUCCUGGUGUAGCGGUGAAAUGCGCAGAUAUCAGGAGGAACACCCGUGGCGAAAGCGGCUCUCUGGGACGGUACUGACGCUGAGACGCGAAAGCGUGGGGAGCAAACAGG
This 253-nucleotide ribosomal RNA is filed under the name uncultured bacterium. RNAcentral's name for it is "partial 16S ribosomal RNA". It matches the Rfam family "Bacterial small subunit ribosomal RNA", at positions 524 to 776 of the family's 1533-position model. The record is from RNAcentral.